RNAcentral lists this ribosomal RNA (357 nucleotides) under Macroperipatus torquatus. RNAcentral's name for it is "partial 16S ribosomal RNA". Lineage: Eukaryota; Metazoa; Onychophora; Udeonychophora; Euonychophora; Peripatidae. The record is from RNAcentral.
UCUUGUAAAUUAAGACUUGUAUGAAUGGAUAAAUGGGGUAAUUCUUUCUUAAGCUAAGUAUUAAAAAUAAUUUUUUUAGUGAAGAAACUAAAAUGAUAGUGAGGGACGAGAAGACCCUAUUAAGCUUUAUAUAAUUAUUUUGUUGGGGAAACAAAAGAAGAAAAUUUCUUUUUAAAAAGUUUUUGAUAAAUUUUGAUUUAUUAUUAAUGAUGAUAGAAUAAGUUACUAUAGGGAUAACAGCAUAAUUUUUUUAACAAGUUCUUAUUAAUAAAGAAGAUUAUGACCUCGAUGUUGGAUUAAAAAUAUUAUAUGGUGUAGCGGUUGUAUAAAUUAGUCUGUUCGACUAUUAAAUUUUUA